Molecule: long non-coding RNA, 254 nt
Filed under: Elaeis guineensis (African oil palm)
Lineage: Eukaryota; Viridiplantae; Streptophyta; Magnoliopsida; Arecales; Arecaceae
Description: long non-coding RNA (EGUI_LNC015307)
Source: RNAcentral
GCAGAAAUAAUUUUGAAACUGGCCGACAUGAGAGAACCAAUCAAUCAAAGUCCAUCAAUAGUUUAUCAUGAAGUCCUCAUCUCGGUCAAUCAGUUAUCACCACGUAGCUACUUCAAAAACAUGCAAAGAUGCCUGAAUCUCCCACUAUUCGAUCACAGCAAGCCCAUAACGACAGAAUAGCCUUCAUAACAAUGAAAUGCGCAUCUCAUGAUAUCUUCCAAAUGUAUGAGUCGUUAUCUCCAACAGCCACCACC